UACGUAGGUGACAAGCGUUUGUCCGGAUUUACUGGGCGUAAAGAGCGCGCAGGCGGUCGUUCAAGUCGAGUGUGAAAGCCCCCGGCUCAACUGGGGAGGGUCAUUCGAUACUGAUCGACUCGAAGGCAGGAGAGGGUAGUGGAAUUCCCGGUGUAGUGGUGAAAUGCGUAGAUAUCGGGAGGAACACCAGUGGCGAAGGCGACUACCUGGCCUGUUCUUGACGCUGAGGCGCGAAAGCUAGGGGAGCAAACGGG
This 254-nucleotide ribosomal RNA is filed under the name uncultured bacterium. RNAcentral describes it as "partial 16S ribosomal RNA". It matches the Rfam family "Bacterial small subunit ribosomal RNA", at positions 524 to 776 of the family's 1533-position model. The record is from RNAcentral.